RNAcentral lists this non-coding RNA (24 nucleotides) under Cricetulus griseus (Chinese hamster). Lineage: Eukaryota; Metazoa; Chordata; Mammalia; Rodentia; Cricetidae. The record is from RNAcentral.
GAGCAUCAUGGGCUGAAGGUUCGG